UACGUAGGGGGCAAGCGUUGUCCGGAAUCAUUGGGCGUAAAGAGCGUGUAGGCGGCUCGAUAAGUCCGCUGUGAAAGUCCAGGGCUCAACCCUGGAAGGCCGGUGGAAACUGUCGGGCUAGAGUCCGGAAGAGGCGAGUGGAAUUCCCGGUGUAGCGGUGAAAUGCGCAGAUAUCGGAAGGAACAUCAGUGGCGAAAGCGACUUCCUGGACCAAUACUGACGCUCAUGUGCGAAAGCGUGGGGAGCAAACAGG
RNAcentral lists this ribosomal RNA (253 nucleotides) under uncultured bacterium. RNAcentral describes it as "partial 16S ribosomal RNA". It matches the Rfam family "Bacterial small subunit ribosomal RNA", at positions 524 to 776 of the family's 1533-position model. The record is from RNAcentral.